UUAGAGUUUGAUCCUGGCUCAGGAUGAACGCUAGCGGCAGGCUUAACACAUGCAAGUCGAGGGGCAGCGAGGGUAGCAAUACCUGUCGGCGACCGGCGGAAGGGUGCGUAACGCGUGAGCAACAUUCCCGUAUCUGGGAGAUAACCGGUGGAAACGCCGACUAAUAUCCCAUAACAACAUUUGCGGCAUCAAGAGUGUUUGAAAGAUACGUCGGAUACGGAUUGGCUCGCGUGACAUUAGCUAGUUGGUGAGGUAACGGCCCACCAAGGCGACGAUGUCUAGGGGUUCUGAGAGGAAGAUCCCCCACAUUGGAACUGAGACACGGUCCAAACUCCUACGGGAGGCAGCAGUGAGGAAUAUUGGUCAAUGGGCGGAAGCCUGAACCAGCCAAGUCGCGUGAAGGAUGAAUGUCCUAUGGAUUGUAAACUUCUUUUGUACGGGAGCAAUAAGGGUCUCGUGAGGCCCGAUGAGGGUACCGUACGAAUAAGCAUCGGCUAACUCCGUGCCAGCAGCCGCGGUAAUACGGAGGAUGCGAGCGUUAUCCGGAUUUAUUGGGUUUAAAGGGUGCGUAGGCGGAAUGCCAAGUCAGCGGUGAAACGCACGCGCUUAACGCGUGACCUGCCGUUGAAACUGGUAAUCUGGAAUACGGAUGCUGUGGGAGGAAUGUGUGGUGUAGCGGUGAAAUGCAUAGAUAUCACACAGAACACCGAUUGCGAAGGCAUCUCACAAAUCCGUCAUUGACGCUGAGGCACGAAAGUGUGGGGAUCAAACAGGAUUAGAUACCCUGGUAGUCCACACUGUAAACGAUGAUAACUCGCUGUCGGCGAUAUACGGUCGGUGGCCAAGCGAAAGCGAUAAGUUAUCCACCUGGGGAGUACGACCGCAAGGUUGAAACUCAAAGGAAUUGACGGGGGCCCGCACGAGCGGAGGAACAUGUGGUUUAAUUCGAUGAUACGCGAGGAACCUUACCCGGGCUCGAACGGCAAGUGAAGAGAGGCAGAGAUGCUGACGUCCUUCGGGACACUUGUCGAGGUGCUGCAUGGUUGUCGUCAGCUCGUGCCGUGAGGUGUCGGCUUAAGUGCCAUAACGAGCGCAACCCUUGUCGUCAGUUACCAGCAUGCAGUGAUGGGGACUCUGGCGAGACUGCCACCGUAAGGUGAGAGGAAGGGGGGGAUGACGUCAAAUCAGCACGGCCCUUACGUCCGGGGCGACACACGUGUUACAAUGGUGGGUACAGAGGGCGGCUAUCCGGCGACGGAAUGCAAAUCUCGAAAACCCAUCUCAGUUCGGAUUGGAGUCUGCAACUCGACUCCAUGAAGUUGGAUUCGCUAGUAAUCGCGCAUCAGCCAUGGCGCGGUGAAUACGUUCCCGGGCCUUGUACACACCGCCGGUCA
RNAcentral lists this ribosomal RNA (1394 nucleotides) under uncultured bacterium. RNAcentral's name for it is "16S ribosomal RNA". It matches the Rfam family "Bacterial small subunit ribosomal RNA". The record is from RNAcentral.